Non-coding RNA from Salvelinus sp. IW2-2015, 706 nucleotides. Lineage: Eukaryota; Metazoa; Chordata; Actinopteri; Salmoniformes; Salmonidae. The record is from RefSeq and is a predicted model, not a curated record.
CACGUGCGUCCACAAGUUCCACGUUCCAGUCCUUGUCAGCUGAUAUCCAAUUUCACUAUAUGCGCUGUCAAUUGUCAACGCAACCUUUUCUAUAGUGGAUGUUCUUUACUGCGAAACUAAUGUUGGAUACGUCUACAUCUGGCCUGCUACUUUGGACACAAAGAUGUUGUGGAGGAGUUACUUAAGGAAGUAGUUAUUUUGCUGUUACGAUACCUGUGCCACUAUCAUCAACGGGACAGCCCAGGUCCCUAUAUCUGUCUACGAGGAUAAUGCGACCAUCGCCAUGCACGAGGCUGCAGAGAUUAGAGAGGAGGAAGGAAGAGAAGCUUCUGGAGGUGGACAGAGUGGGAGACAUCAGCCUGUCUCAGCUGGUCAGCAUCUGAUCAUCCCUGGCCCUCCACUGAACCUCUCAACCUCAAGCUCUGCAAGAUGCAGCCUCCAGGCAUCCACUGUAGAGACCUGCCUACAGGGGGCAGAAGCAGUGUGUCAGAAAGAUGCUGAAGUUUGGAGCCAGCCCCAGCAUCAAGAAUGAGCAACCAAACCGUUUUUGACCUGGCCUGCAGUGAGGAGAUUAAGCAGAUUCUGGUGGGCAGUCAUGACAAGGUGAGAUGCGAGAGGAACAUUGGAGCAAAAAGCUGCUGAUUCUGUGAUUCUACUGAAACAAAAAGAAAAAAUUCUUCCCCUAGAGGAUAUGACUUGUGUUAUG